Non-coding RNA from Schizosaccharomyces pombe (fission yeast), 218 nucleotides. NCBI's taxonomy places the organism in Eukaryota, Fungi, Ascomycota, Schizosaccharomycetes, Schizosaccharomycetales, Schizosaccharomycetaceae. The record is from the annotation of a GenBank genome assembly.
UCUUCUAGUUCAUUUUCCACACGGCUUUUCUCACUUUCUGCGUUACGGCAUUUCGUUUCCGUAAGCUGAAGUUUCUCUUCAAGGUUAUGAAACUUUACUAACUCCUCGUCAAAACUUUUUUUUGCUGAGAGUUUUGCUUCCAGCUCUCUAAUCCUUUCUGACAAUGCUUCGUUUCUAUGUACCUCAGUAGCAUAUUUAUCAUCAAGAGCCGCCUGUCU